GAAGCUGGAUUCGCUAGUAAUCGCGCAUCAGCCACGGCGCGGUGAAUACGUUCCCGGGCCUUGUACACACCGCCCGUCAAGCCAUGGAAGCCGGGGAGUGCCUGAAGUGCGUGACCGCAAGGAGCGUCCUAAGGCAAUACCGGUGACUGGGGGCUAAGUCGUAACAAGGUACC
Molecule: ribosomal RNA, 173 nt
Filed under: uncultured bacterium
Lineage: Bacteria
Description: partial 16S ribosomal RNA
Rfam family: Bacterial small subunit ribosomal RNA
Source: RNAcentral